Molecule: non-coding RNA, 22 nt
Filed under: Arabidopsis thaliana (thale cress)
Lineage: Eukaryota; Viridiplantae; Streptophyta; Magnoliopsida; Brassicales; Brassicaceae
Source: RNAcentral
UGAAACAGGGAUACUCGACUGC